RNAcentral lists this ribosomal RNA (464 nucleotides) under Bacillus mycoides. RNAcentral's name for it is "bacterial LSU rRNA". It matches the Rfam family "Bacterial large subunit ribosomal RNA", at positions 2466 to 2925 of the family's 2925-position model. The record is from RNAcentral. Lineage: Bacteria; Bacillati; Bacillota; Bacilli; Caryophanales; Bacillaceae.
CCCCGGGGAUAACAGGCUUAUCUCCCCCAAGAGUCCACAUCGACGGGGAGGUUUGGCACCUCGAUGUCGGCUCAUCGCAUCCUGGGGCUGUAGUCGGUCCCAAGGGUUGGGCUGUUCGCCCAUUAAAGCGGUACGCGAGCUGGGUUCAGAACGUCGUGAGACAGUUCGGUCCCUAUCCGUCGUGGGCGCAGGAAAUUUGAGAGGAGCUGUCCUUAGUACGAGAGGACCGGGAUGGACGCACCGCUGGUGUACCAGUUGUUCUGCCAAGGGCAUAGCUGGGUAGCUAUGUGCGGAAGGGAUAAGUGCUGAAAGCAUCUAAGCAUGAAGCCCCCCUCAAGAUGAGAUUUCCCAUAGCGUAAGCUAGUAAGAUCCCUGAAAGAUGAUCAGGUUGAUAGGUUCGAGGUGGAAGCAUGGUGACAUGUGGAGCUGACGAAUACUAAUAGAUCGAGGACUUAACCAUAUAA